AUGUCUCACAGAUCUCUGCUGAGAGCAUGGAAAAAGAAGCAUGAGCUGUCCUUGUGUUCUGCCAUGAGCAUCCAUGCUUGUGUCCCCCUCUGCAGCUGCAGCCUGUUCUGCCAGAAUGAGACAGCAAAGCUUGCUGUAAGACUGUCCUGUACCUAUGGUGUAACAUGCUACACAGAACAGAAAGGACCAAAAUCUGGCCUCAAGUCACUCUCUGUUCUCAGCUUUCUUUUGACCAACUCUUAUACAAGUCAUUAAGGACGCAACUUUAACACCUUCCUUCAUCUAUGGCAAGCUCUAGCUCAAAGUUGCAGCUUGUCGUCAGCCCUGGCACCCAACAGAACACCACCUUCAUCAAACUCCAUCAUGACCAAAGUAUUUACUUCUAAACAACACUUCUCCCUGACUGUGGGAAACCACUGAUCAUAGACGCCAUAUUUGCAAUGAUAAUAUUAUUUAAAGAUACAGACCAGCUCAGAGCUACUUCUGAUCAGCAGCAACUCAUCUAAAGGGACUUGGCCCAUGGUUUGCUGCAUAUCACAGACACACCUCCACACAUCUUGUUGUUUUAAUUCCCUGUUCAUACAUUUGCCUGUGUCAUGAUGGUGCCCAUGCAGCUGAAACAGGACUAUCCUUGCUGUGCCAUCUCUGAGCAAGCUUCGGCUGAGGAUGUGGCUUCAAAACACCACAGCCAAAGAAGAACAGUGGGCAGGCAGUGGGGACACGGGGUUACUUUUCUGUGAGUCACUGAAAAAAAAUCUGCAAAGCAGCCACCUCCGGAGGGAGAAAUAGAUGCCGUCAGCACUCAUGAACCAGGCGCCAUGGACAGGAGCACCUCCCGCUGCUCCCUCUGCCGAGCGCCCGCAGGAGCGCAGCACUGAGCCCGGCUCCAACCGUGCCCGGGCUCCCGUAGCACCGAGAGCAAAUGUAAUGAACCUUAAGUAAGGAGCAAAAGCAGCGAUUGCAAGUUCAUCGCUUGUAAGUGACAGAGAAAAGGCAAGCCGGGGCGGGAGGGAGCUUCUCAUCAAUCACAAGACAACAAAAGUGGACUGAAGUGAUGCAGCUGCAGAAGAAGGCUGAGGUGAUCCCAAGGCCCAGCUGGUGGGGCUGUGUGCUGCGGGACCAAUUCUGCUACACGAGGCAUCAAUGUAACUACAGCAGAUAAAUUUAUGCAAGGUUCUGUUCUAAAAAGUGGGAUCCAACCUCAACCCAGUGCAAAGAAGUGAAAAGUAACAUGUAUGCAAGCAGGUCUUCCUGCUAACUGCGACUAAACUGCAGCCAAAAAAAUUACUCUUUAAAGCAACAGGGAGAGCAAGGACUAUUACUGAGGACAGACCAUCUGACACCAAAACUAAAUUCACUGCUCAUGAAAAGUAUCUGGACCUAAGCACCUGGUGCUCCUUCUGCAGAGAAGCACUCUGCAAACACUCCUGGUUUCUCUUUUUCUGGCUUUGCCAGUUGUCACUCAUUUCUGUCCCACAGGUGAAACACCGAAGAAGAGCAUUAGCUAGAACAGCCCCUGGACACACUGUGUUUGAAUCUGCCAGGAUAAGAACCAGCUAAAAGCAGAUACUGCAUUUCUUGUAAAGGCUCUAGCCAUAAGGUGUUGCCUGAGAUUGUGUGUGAUGUCACCCAUCUCUUCCAGCAGUUUUAAAACAACAAACUGUAUGCGUGUAUAGUUGUAACUACAGAAUAAAUAGCCAGAGGGUAUCUAAGAAAAGACUCA
Molecule: long non-coding RNA, 1723 nt
Organism: Coturnix japonica (Japanese quail)
Lineage: Eukaryota; Metazoa; Chordata; Aves; Galliformes; Phasianidae
Source: Ensembl